UAGCCUUCUAACUGGCAGCAAUUGGACAAAAACAAUUAUUCCUCUCCCUCUAAUUAGGACUUUAUUUUUCUUUUCUUUUUGUUGUAUGAACGUAGAGGCAUGGAUGAGGGACUGUGCUGCCAAGUUUAGUGCUUCUGGGAUGUGUAGUUUUGUUGUUUUGUCCUAGGACGAAAUUUCAUUACCCUUUUAUAUUUAUAGAUUUAUUUAAUGUGUUGUCGAAGGCAUUCAUGGCCAGGAUCACAAUGUUGUUGUAUGUCUCUCAGGCUGUGUGGCCAUGUUCCAGAAGUAUUCUCUCCUGACGUUUCACCCACAUCUAUGGCAGGCAUCCUCAGAGGUUGUGAGGUAUUUGAUGCCUGCCAUACAUGUGGGCGAAACGUCAGGAGAGAAUGCUUCUGGAACAUGGCCACACAGCCCGAAAGACAUACAACAACCCUAUUUAUUUAUUUAUUUAUUUAUUUACAGUAUUUAUAUUCCGCCCUUCUUUCUCACCCCGAAGGGGACUCAGGGCGGAUCACAUUAUACACACACAGGGCAAACAUUCAAUGCCCAUAUACACAUAGAACCGAGACAGAGACAGACAGACGCAGAGGCAAUUUAACCUUCUUCUGAGGGGAUGUUUGAUUCUGGCCACAGGGGGGAGCAGCUGCUUCAUCAUCCACUCUGACGGCACUUCCUCAUUCCAACGUCGUAAAUUAGUUAAAUUUGCCUCCACACUUUAUAAGUGGUACCUUAUUUCCUACUUGAUAGAUACAACUAUCUUUCGGGUUUCUAGGUCAGCAAUGAGCAGGGGCUAUUUUUUAUUUUAUUUUUAAUUGACGGGUGCUCACCCCGCCACGGGCUGGCCUCGAACUCAUGACCUCAUGGUCAGAGUGAUUUAUUGCAGCAGGCUGCUCACCAGCCUGCGCCACAAUCAUGUUUAACUUGUCUACAAGGACUCUUCAUAAGUGGACCUUCCUCUGCAGGAAUCCCGAGUGGGCAAUUCCAUAACAAGGGCAGUGCCAUGGCCAUGCCGGACCAUGCUUGCCCUUCCUGGGCGCAUGAUGCGUGCAGUCUUGGGCAUCUCAGGGCAGAUGUUUUGAAUGCAACUGGGAGGGCAGUGGGGGCUUUUGGGGGCUGCAAAAUGGGGGUUCACACCGUGCUGUUCUGGACUCUCCUUGUCCAUCUCUCCUUCUUUCGAUCCAUCCUUCCUUCCAUCAGCCUCUCUGGUUCCCAUUCCCAGACCUUCUUGACAGGUCCAUUAAGCACCGGCUCAGCAGCUGCUAUAUUUAGACCUUUCUGGCUGCGGAAAGGCCAUAAAUCCCGCUCCAUUGUCACCCGAAAAAGGAGCCACGCUUCCUUCCGUCCUCUUAUCUGGAGUGGGAUCAAAUGAGGAACGAGGGGGGGCCGGGGAAAGGGAGGGCGAGAGGGACCCCCAAACUGCCCCAUCUUGGCUCUUUCCAGCUUGCAAUGGAGGGAUGUCCGCAGGAGCCCCACAAAUAUGCCUUGCAGGGCCAUGUCCCUAUCGCACCCCUUGCAAAAUAUGGGGCUCCUAAAAUAGGGGAGGGUUCUUGAAGGGCCGGGCUGUGGCGCAGAUGACUAGUAACCAGCAGCUAUAAAUCACUACUGAGUUCGAAGCCCGGGUUGGGUUAAGCCUCCGACCAUUCAUAGCCCCGGCUUGCUGUUGACCUAUGCAGCCCCGAAAGACAGUUGCACCUGUCAAGUAGGGAAAUUUAGGGACGCUUUAUGCGGGAGGCUAAUUUACAACACCAUAAAACUGCCAGCAAAACACGAGGAAAGGAAUGAGGAAGUACAGCCACUUCUGGACGGUGAAGCAACAGCUCCCCCUGUGGCCGGAAUCGUGAAGCUGGAAAAAUGUUAAAAAUGCCUCUGAGUCUGUCUAAUGUAUGUUGUUUGUCUGUUGGCAUUGAAUGUUUGCCGUAUAUGUGUUCAUUGUAAUCCGCCCUGAGUCCCCUUCGGGGUGAGAAAGAAGGACGGAAUAUAAAUACUGUAAAUAAAUAAAUAAAAAUAAAUUUCUCCCCUGCUUUGUGCCCUUCAUGGCUACUCAGUGCUACUCGUGCUUGCUAAUUGCAACACCCACAGGUAGGGAUCUAUCUAUGCACUCUGCUUGCUGGGCUACCUCUAUGCAGACGCCCUCCCUGAUUGACUUUGCAGCUGCAGAUCCCGGCAGUGGUGAGAGGAUCCUCCUUGUCCUUUGCUAAACGUAACAUCAACAAGGGUUCUUUCUUUCUCCCACCCGGGACGUUAUGUCAGAGUAAUUGCAGCGCAGCAGUAGUUGGAUGGAAUCAGUGGAACGCAGAACGAAGAGACACCCAGAGACGUUGGUAAAACUACCCUGUUUCCCCGAAAAUAAGACAUCCCCGAAAAAUAAGACCUAGUAGAAGUUUUGCUGGAUUGCUAAAUAUAAGGCCUCCCCCAAAAGUAAGACCUAGUAAAGUUUUUGUUUGGAAGCAUGCCUGCCAAACAGAAACCAUAGCAUGUAGGAUCAGUAAAUGUACAUACCAAUUGUACAUGGAAAUAAUGGUAGUAACAAGAAAUUAUUGAGAGGAAUUUGUUUGUUUAUGCUGGUUUGUGAUGACAACUACAGUACAGUAUAUAAUAAAUGUUCAUUUUUUGUUCAACAAUAAAUGUGAAUUCUUCUUCAUGGAAAAAUAAGACAUCCUCUGAAAAUAAGACCCAGCACAUCUUUGGGAGCAAAAAUUAAUAUAAGACACUGUCUUAUUUUCAGGGAAACACGGUAUAUAACAAAGUUUUACUAUAUGCAGCAAUAAUCAAGACAAACAGACUUGCAGACACAGGACACAGGACUCUCACUCUCAGCAGACAGCACUCAACGCAGAACAGAACUGAACUGAACUGAUGCAAUCAGUAAUACACACACACUUGUGUCUGGACACUCCCCAGUUCCAGCCACACAUCAAGGACACCACAACUUCUUAGCAAUUAACUCUUUCCAGACUAUAGUACACUUUGGAUGAUGCAAUCAGUAUGCAAUACUGGCAAGACACAAAUUGCAUUUAAACACUACCAAUACACAAAUCCCACAUUAACACGUUAUUCCACAGGCAUAUCUACACUCCACUUGCCUUGCUUCCAACAGAACCUCUGAAGAUGCAUUAGCCACAGACGCAGGCGAAACAUCAGGAGAGAAUGCUGCUGGAACCUGUUGGCCAUGCAUCCCAGAAAACUCACAGCAACCCGUCCCACUUCUGUCCCGACAGGCCAGCAAUUUCAUGGCAUCCGCACUGGAAUUCAUCUCUCUUGCGGCUUUCCUUUUCUUCCCUCUUUUUCAUGUUGCUGUAAUUGCAAAAUUUGGAACAAAAAUUAAGAAAACAAGGCUAAAGGCCCACUGGGUUCCACUGGCUUCCAUUAUAUACAAUGGCUGUGAAAUGGUGUUGCUUAUAUAAAAGGGCAAAAACAAGGUUUACUUCUGGGUAUUUUGGGGAAUAUUUGCAAGUUGUUGACGGAUGCAGAAUCUGUGGAUACGGGAGGCCAAUCUUAUAGCAAUUACAGGAGAGUCUCACUUAUCCAGCAUAAACGAGCCGCAGAACGUUGCAUAAGCGAAAAUGUUGGAUAAUAAGGAGAGAUUAAGGAAAAGCCUAUUAAAUGUCAAAUUAUGUUAUGAUGUUGCAAAUUAAGCACCAAAACAUCAUAUUUUACAACAAAUUGACAGAAAAAGCAGUUCAAUACACUGUAACUUUAUGUAGUAAAUACUGUAUUUACGAAUUUAGCACCAAAACGUUGCAUUGUAUUGAAAACAUUGACUAUAAAAACUUUGGUUACUAACAAAUUGACUACAAAUAAAGAUAGAUUUGCAUAAAAUGAACUUACAGUAACAACACUGUCGAAAAUUAAAUCCAUUAAAUCC
Anolis carolinensis (green anole) is the source of this 3865-nucleotide long non-coding RNA. The record is from Ensembl. Lineage: Eukaryota; Metazoa; Chordata; Lepidosauria; Squamata; Anolidae.